Molecule: long non-coding RNA, 223 nt
Organism: Maniola jurtina (meadow brown)
Lineage: Eukaryota; Metazoa; Arthropoda; Insecta; Lepidoptera; Nymphalidae
Exons: 3
Source: RefSeq, a predicted model, not a curated record
AUAAAGAUUAUUAGCUUUUAAAAUUUAUUUUCCGAGUCUCUGCAGAUAUGAUAACUAUCAGCAUAAAUACCACAGUAACCCUCGCUCAUCUCCAGUCCGACGCUACCCGUUGACAAGUGACAGUUGAUCGUGAUCAGUCAUUGGACGCUAUAUUGGUUCCUUUCUUGAAUCAGUCCCGCUGAUUCGUCCCCGCGAUUGGUCUCGAAUUCUGUUGUUGGAUUAG